GUUGGUGAGGUAACGGCUCACCAAGGCGACGAUCCCUAGCUGGUCUGAGAGGAUGACCAGCCACACUGGAACUGAGACACGGUCCAGACUCCUACGGGAGGCAGCAGUGGGGAAUAUUGCACAAUGGGCGCAAGCCUGAUGCAGCCAUGCCGCGUGUAUGAAGAAGGCCUUCGGGUUGUAAAGUACUUUCAGCGGGGAGGAAGGUGUUGUGGUUAAUAACCACAGCAAUUGACGUUACCCGCAGAAGAAGCACCGGCUAACUCCGUGCCAGCAGCCGCGGUAAUACGGAGGGUGCAAGCGUUAAUCGGAAUUACUGGGCGUAAAGCGCACGCAGGCGGUCUGUCAAGUCGGAUGUGAAAUCCCCGGGCUCAACCUGGGAACUGCAUUCGAAACUGGCAGGCUUGAGUCUUGUAGAGGGGGGUAGAAUUCCAGGUGUAGCGGUGAAAUGCGUAGAGAUCUGGAGGAAUACCGGUGGCGAAGGCGGCCCCCUGGACAAAGACUGACGCUCAGGUGCGAAAGCGUGGGGAGCAAACAGGAUUAGAUACCCUGGUAGUCCACGCCGUAAACGAUGUCUACUUGGAGGUUGUGCCCUUGAGGCGUGGCUUCCGGAGCUAACGCGUUAAGUAGACCGCCUGGGGAGUACGGCCGCAAGGUUAAAACUCAAAUGAAUUGACGGGGGCCCGCACAAGCGGUGGAGCAUGUGGUUUAAUUCGAUGCAACGCGAAGAACCUUACCUGGUCUUGACAUCCACAGAACUUUCCAGAGAUGGAUUGGUGCCUUCGGGAACUGUGAGACAGGUGCUGCAUGGCUGUCGUCAGCUCGUGUUGUGAAAUGUUGGGUUAAGUCCCGCAACGAGCGCAAC
This 862-nucleotide ribosomal RNA is filed under the name Salmonella enterica subsp. enterica serovar Braenderup. RNAcentral describes it as "bacterial SSU rRNA". It matches the Rfam family "Bacterial small subunit ribosomal RNA", at positions 248 to 1102 of the family's 1533-position model. Lineage: Bacteria; Pseudomonadati; Pseudomonadota; Gammaproteobacteria; Enterobacterales; Enterobacteriaceae. The record is from RNAcentral.